CCCUUAGAUGUUCUGGGCUGCACGCGCGCUACAAUAAUACGCACAGCGAGUAUCACCGAGCUCGAAAGGGCAAGGUAAACAAUAGAAAAGGUACUGUAAUGGUUAUAGAUCCUUGUAAUUAUUGAUCUUCAACGAGGAAUUCCUAGUAAGUAUGUGUCAUCAUCACGCACUGAUUACGUCCCUGCCCUUUGUACACACCGCCCGUCGCUCCUACCGAUUGGGUGAGCCGAUGAAACUCUCGGAUGUAGGCUACUCAUAGCCCGCAGAAGAGAUUUGAAUCGUAGCGCUUAGAGGAAGGAGAAGUCGUAACA
RNAcentral lists this ribosomal RNA (311 nucleotides) under uncultured eukaryote. Its description in RNAcentral is "partial 18S ribosomal RNA". It matches the Rfam family "Eukaryotic small subunit ribosomal RNA", at positions 1470 to 1796 of the family's 1831-position model. The record is from RNAcentral.